GUGAACCUGCGUUUGGAUCAUUA
This 23-nucleotide ribosomal RNA is filed under the name Polyschismium peyerimhoffii. RNAcentral's name for it is "partial 18S ribosomal RNA". Lineage: Eukaryota; Evosea; Eumycetozoa; Physariida; Didymiaceae. The record is from RNAcentral.